UGUCUUUCCCUGCCUUUUCAACCAGAAGCCAUAUCCUUCUUCUUGGAAGUCAGUGAGUCACUUGCCACCAGCACUGGCAAUGAUGCGAGGGAAUACAAAAUAACAUCAGGCUACGGCCACGUCUCCUCAACUACACCACUUCAUGGCUAAUGGAAAAAAACUAAGCCUUUCUUUCAUGGCAGGAACCAGGACAGUUGUGCACAUUCAAAAAAGGUAUUCAAAGACAAAAAGGGGAGAUAUAGUCCCUGUUUAAAUUUCAGAGGAUAUUUUUUAUUUCCUCUGAGCAGGCCAAAGCUACUGCAGCUAGAAGAGCUCUCUUGCUUAUAGUUCUUCUAUCUGGUUGAGCUAUAGGAAUGAAGGCCUAGAAGGUUUUUCUGAAGUUUCUUGUCUCUGCCAUGGAACACCUGCACUGGCAGCAGAGUGUGGGGUGAGCUGUCAGGCCUUUGUGAUGCAGGGCUGCCUUGUGCCCAGAGACCACAAUGACACGGCGGCCAGCCCCCCUGGCUGUGGGGGGAUUGAAGGAGCCCUGGGCUGCCCAGUGCCAGGAGAGCAGCUCCUGCAGAAGGCAGCAUUUCCCUGGGUGCUUUGGCACAUCUGUGGCACUGAAUGUCAAAGACAGACAUGGAGAAUCUUUUGGAGAACACCAAGUCCCAGACCUUCAAGGGGCUGGUGGGCCACAGGCAGCAAGAUGCAGCACCUCGGGACAGCCAGCACAAGGCCUCAUCCCUCCAUGGGGACAGGAUACCACUCAUUCCCUGCUCACAGGGCUUGCAGGAUGCUGGGAGGCAGCCUCCACAGGGGCUGGAAAGGAGAGGCCGGGCUCGCCCCAGGCGCAGGGCUCCACGGAGGAAUGCCUUCCUGCAGUGGCAGCAGGGCACCCUGGAGGAGAACUCGUGCAGCAGGGAUGUGAGGAGUGGCUUGCAGCCCUGACAUGGUCUCAGCUGGUCUCAGCUGCUUAAUGACACAGACGGUCAGGUGAGGGCUAAGGACAGGAUGGGAUGGCAUGGGACAGGAUGGGAGGAGGGAAUGAGCCUCCUUCUGCCUUGCACCAACCACUGCACCACACCACUGCUGCGCCAUCACCUCCUGCAGCCCUGUCUGUUAUGACCUGGGU
This 1114-nucleotide long non-coding RNA is filed under the name Manacus vitellinus (golden-collared manakin). RNAcentral describes it as "lncRNA (ENSMVIG00005007314.1)". Lineage: Eukaryota; Metazoa; Chordata; Aves; Passeriformes; Pipridae. The record is from RNAcentral.